UACGGAGGAUGCAAGCGUUAUCCGGAUUCAUUGGGUUUAAAGGGUGCGUAGGCGGGCUAUUAAGUCAGUGGUGAAAUCCUGCAGCUUAACUGCAGAACUGCCGUUGAUACUGAUAGUCUUGAGUUUGGUUAAGGUAGUCGGAAUGUGUAAUGUAGCGGUGAAAUGCUUAGAUAUUACACAGAACACCAAUUGCGUAGGCAGCUUACUGAGCCGACACUGACGCUGAGGCACGAAAGCGUGGGGAUCAAACAGGA
RNAcentral lists this ribosomal RNA (254 nucleotides) under uncultured prokaryote. RNAcentral describes it as "partial 16S ribosomal RNA". It matches the Rfam family "Bacterial small subunit ribosomal RNA", at positions 524 to 777 of the family's 1533-position model. The record is from RNAcentral.